Molecule: ribosomal RNA, 253 nt
Filed under: uncultured bacterium
Lineage: Bacteria
Description: partial 16S ribosomal RNA
Rfam family: Bacterial small subunit ribosomal RNA
Source: RNAcentral
GACGGAGGGUGCAAGCGUUGUUCGGAAUCACUGGGCGUAAAGCGCGUGUAGGCGGUUUGUUAAGUCGAUUGUGAAAGCCCGAGGCUCAACCUCGGAAGUGCACUCGAAACUGGCAGGCUUGAGUACGGGAGAGGGAAGUGGAAUUCCUGGUGUAGAGGUGAAAUUCGUAGAUAUCAGGAGGAACACCGGUGGCGAAGGCGGCUUCCUGGACCGAUACUGACGCUGAGACGCGAAAGCGUGGGGAGCAAACAGG